Molecule: ribosomal RNA, 253 nt
Filed under: uncultured bacterium
Lineage: Bacteria
Description: partial 16S ribosomal RNA
Rfam family: Bacterial small subunit ribosomal RNA
Source: RNAcentral
UACGGAGGGUGCAAGCGUUAAUCGGAAUUACUGGGCGUAAAGCGUGCGCAGGCGGUUUGUUAAGUCCGUUGUGAAAGCCCCGAGCUCAACUUGGGAAUUGCAGUGGAUACUGGCAGGCUGGAGUACGGUAGAGGAAGGUGGAAUUCCCGGUGUAGCGGUGAAAUGCGCAGAUAUCAGGAGGAACACCGGUGGCGAAGGCGGGUCUCUGGGCCGAUACUGACGCUGAGGAGCGAAAGCGUGGGGAGCGAACAGG